UGUGUGGAAGACAUGGCGGUGGGGUGGGUUAGUGUUAUUAUAUACAACACUCAGAACAUAUUUCUAUGCUAAGGAUAUUAAUUUGUCAUAUGAAAUGACAUAAAUAUGAAAGAAUAGUUAAUUCUUAUUGUUGCAUCUACUAUGGAAGAGCAUUUACUUCCAAAAGAACAGCAGGAACAUCAAUGGGGCGAGAGUUCUGCAUUCAUCAAAGUCCAUCCAGAGGAACCAGAGGAAGUUCUUGUUAGCAGUCCAUCUCCUUCACUUACAGCAAUUCUAGAGACUGCAUUUAAUACUGCUGCUUCUCAGUCUUCUUCCAGUCUUCAUAAUGGUAAACUUUUAUUUUUACAAUAUUACACCAUAUCAUAUUAAUAAAUUUGUAU
Molecule: long non-coding RNA, 380 nt
Filed under: Androctonus crassicauda
Lineage: Eukaryota; Metazoa; Arthropoda; Arachnida; Scorpiones; Buthidae
Source: RNAcentral